CAUGAAGAACGUAGUGAAAUGCGAUAAGUAAUGUGAAUUGCAGAAUUCAGUGAAUCAUCGAAUCUUUGAACGCACAUUGCGCCCGCCAGCACUCUGGCGGGCAUGCCUGUUCGAGCGUCAUUUCAACCAUCAAGCCCCCAGGGGCUUGUGCUGGGGCCCUGCGGCUGCCCGCAGGCCCUGAAAACCAGUGGCGGGCUCGCUAGUCACACCGAGCGCAGUAGCACAUCUCGCUCAGGGCGUGCGGCGGGCUCCUGCCGUGAAACCCCCCACUGUAACCCCAAAGGUUGACCUCGGAUCAGGUAGGAAUACCCGCUGAACUUAAGCAUAUCAAUAAGCGGAGGA
Molecule: unclassified non-coding RNA, 342 nt
Filed under: soil metagenome
Description: partial contains 5.8S ribosomal RNA, internal transcribed spacer 2, and large subunit ribosomal RNA
Rfam family: 5.8S ribosomal RNA (bases 2-120)
Source: RNAcentral